Ipomoea nil (Japanese morning glory) is the source of this 338-nucleotide long non-coding RNA. RefSeq lists it as uncharacterized. The transcript has 2 exons. Lineage: Eukaryota; Viridiplantae; Streptophyta; Magnoliopsida; Solanales; Convolvulaceae. The record is from RefSeq and is a predicted model, not a curated record.
GCGCACAAGAAAACCGUAGUAGGCCACUUCAAUUAAGAGUCCAACUUAUAACAUUGUAAUUACCAAGUCAACAAUCUGACCAACUUAACUGAGAUUGAAGAGAAUGGAAACAACAAGCAUAGCAUCACAUGUUCUUAUGAUCUACCACUUUGAAGGUAACUUUAAUUUGAUGACUCCAACAUGCAUCAUAUCAACUGAAGCAAUCACCCAUACACCCCUCUUAGCUCCCCUGCCACUUACUCUCCCAAAACAAAUCAUAAGCUCUGUCAAUUUUGUUGUGAUUUAAGGUUAGAAAUUUACAUCUUUGUUUUGGUUUUGCAUUGCACCUUAUUUUUCCU